GCCGGAGGACAGCUAGCUUCCGUCCUCCUCUUGGUACAUUGACUUCAAUACAAAACCUAGGUGGCUCUUGGUUCUCACCCCCUUCAAUAGACUUCCACAGUAAUUAUGACAACUUCCGGAGGACGUGCUCCAACCUACCAGAGCUCUUGCAACAUGAACUGACAUGUUGUCCACCCAAUCAAAGGAGCAGAGAAUGAAUCUAGUACUGAAAGCAUAAGCUAACAUGUGUUUGUGUGGAAGCCCUCCAUUCUAUGACGAGAACGACGCCAAGCUCUUUGAGCAGAUUCUGAAGGCUGAAUACGAGUUUGACUCUCCUUACUGGGGCCCUAUCUCCAACUCAGCUUGGUCUGCAUAAUGGAACCUAUGGAAGAGUCCCAAAAGUCUGAACCCCACCCACACAGAUUUUCCAUCCUCCACAAUGAAGGUAUUGAUUUUUACUUUUAUAUUAUUGAACCCUUAUUUUAGAAGAUAAGUUGAUACAUUGAUGCUUUACCUCAGAA
Oncorhynchus mykiss (rainbow trout) is the source of this 500-nucleotide non-coding RNA. Lineage: Eukaryota; Metazoa; Chordata; Actinopteri; Salmoniformes; Salmonidae. The record is from RefSeq and is a predicted model, not a curated record.